RNAcentral lists this ribosomal RNA (479 nucleotides) under uncultured bacterium. RNAcentral's name for it is "partial 16S ribosomal RNA". It matches the Rfam family "Bacterial small subunit ribosomal RNA", at positions 28 to 507 of the family's 1533-position model. The record is from RNAcentral.
GAUGAACGCUGGCGGCGUGCUUAACACAUGCAAGUCGAGCGAAGCACUUAAGAUUGAUUCUUCGGAUGACGUCUUUUGUGACUUAGUGGCGGACGGGUGAGUAACGCGUGGGUAACCUGCCUCACACAGGGGGAUAACAGUUAGAAAUGACUGCUAAUACCGCAUAACCCGAUAGGAUCGCAUGAUCCAGACGGAAAAGAUUUAUCGGUGUGAGAUGGACCCGCGUCUGAUUAGCUAGUUGGUGAGGUAACGGCCCACCAAGGCGACGAUCAGUAGCCGGCCUGAGAGGGUGAACGGCCACAUUGGGACUGAGACACGGCCCAAAAUCCUACGGGAGGCAGCAGUGGGGAAUAUUGCACAAUGGGGGAAACCCUGAUGCAGCGACGCCGCGUGAGUGAAGAAGUAUUUCGGUAUGUAAAGCUCUAUCAGCAGGGAAGAAAAUGACGGUACCUGACUAAGAAGCCCCGGCUAACUACGUG